This 531-nucleotide long non-coding RNA is filed under the name Gossypium barbadense (sea-island cotton). RNAcentral's name for it is "long non-coding RNA (GBAR_LNC014573)". Lineage: Eukaryota; Viridiplantae; Streptophyta; Magnoliopsida; Malvales; Malvaceae. The record is from RNAcentral.
ACCAUUGUUUCAACAUGAAGGUUUGUAAUAAAAAUUUGUUUCUAUCAGCAUUGCUUUGCAUUGCUGUUGCAGGAGUUUUGGGUCAAGCUCCUAGUAAUCCUCCUACGUCUACGCCGGCGCCACCCACACCACCGGCUUCUACUCCUCCUCCGACGACUCAAGCACCGCCUACACCAACCGCCACUCCGCCACCGGUUUCUACUCCUCCUCCCACUUCAUCACCGCCCCCAGUGACAGCUUCUCCACCCCCAGUUUCAACUCCUCCACCCAGUUCUCCUCCUCCUGCAACUCCACCACCUGCUUCUCCUCCUCCUGCAACUCCACCUCCAGCUUCUCCACCUCCUGCCACUCCUCCACCAGCUUCUCCACCUCCCGCCACUCCACCACCUGCAACCCCACCGCCAGCAACUCCUCCUCCUGCUACCCCACCACCAGCUCCAUUGGCUUCUCCUCCAGCCACAGUCCCAGCUAUCUCUCCAGUACAAACACCAUUGACAUCGCCACCAGCUCCGCCGACCGAGGCCCCAGCAC